This 484-nucleotide ribosomal RNA is filed under the name uncultured bacterium. RNAcentral's name for it is "partial 16S ribosomal RNA". It matches the Rfam family "Bacterial small subunit ribosomal RNA", at positions 30 to 507 of the family's 1533-position model. The record is from RNAcentral.
AUUGAACGCUGGCGGCAGGCCUAACACAUGCAAGUCGAGCGGAUGAAGGGAGCUUGCUCCUGGAUUCAGCGGCGGACGGGUGAGUAAUGCCUAGGAAUCUGCCUGGUAGUGGGGGAUAACGUCCGGAAACGGGCGCUAAUAGCGCAUACGUCCUGAGGGAGAAAGUGGGGGAUCUUCGGACCUCACGCUAUCAGAUGAGCCUAGGUCGGAUUAGCUAGUUGGUGGGGUAAAGGCCUACCAAGGCGACGAUCCGUAACUGGUCUGAGAGGAUGAUCAGUCACACUGGAACUGAGACACGGUCCAGACUCCUACGGGAGGCAGCAGUGGGGAAUAUUGGACAAUGGGCGAAAGCCUGAUCCAGCCAUGCCGCGUGUGUGAAGAAGGUCUUCGGAUUGUAAGGCACUUUAAGUUGGGAGGAAGGGCAGUAAGUUAAUACCUUGCUGUUUUGACGUUACCAACAGAAUAAGCACCGGCUAACUUCGUG